CCUGUUUUUACGAUUAAUCCUGAGAAGCGCUACACUACAGUAACGCAAGAGUUAGCACGUGCUGGGUCACGUGUGUAAAUACCGUUACAGCGAGCGUUUUAACCACGCCCAUUUCGAAUCUUUGUAUUUACAUUUUAACGUUCGUAACGGUCGAUCGUCACGAUUUUUCUUAUUUGCGCUGCUCUCUCAGUUUUGUUCGGGUCACGUCCAUUCCUCACGUAUUUUUCUGCUCUUUUAAUUACGCCACAUUUGCUCUUGACACAAACCACAGUCUCGGUCCCCGGUGACGCGAAACUGCGGAUUUUGAAAAAAUUUUUCAUUUCGGCGCGAUUCCAGCGACACUCAACACGGAGAAAAUGAGUUCUCUGCUCCAGCAACGAGAAGAGGGUCGCCACUUUUUUGGCGAUGAUUUUCCAGUGAUAAUGAGUGAAGACGAAGAGUCUUUAAAUGAGACAACAGGGGACCUCACUGAAUGGAAGCCUGUCGACUGCUCAGAGAGUGGCGCCGUCUCCCGUACUGCCGCACCGCUCGCUGAGAGCGGAGGGACCCAGGAGUCAGUCAAGAACUCCCUGACUGACUCUGUGAACCAUGUGUGGCAGCACUGCUAUGAUACCUCGGAAAAUACGCCAAAUUGCAGUUACCGUUUGAGAUCUCACGCAGAUGAGAAGCUAUACGUGUGUCUCGUGUGCUCUAAGUGUUUUUGCACCCGGAGCCAGCUCACUCGCCACUAUCAAGCAUGUAUCUUCGCCGAUUCGGAACAAUAUGACAAACAUGCUGCUACAGAGCUGAAGAGUGAGUCUGAGGAGUCUUCUCCUAGCUCUGACUCAUGCUCGCCAUUAAUGCUGAAGUACACCUGCCAAAUAUGCUUUUAUGCUACUGGUAGUUUGGCACAUUUUAAUUGCCAUUUAAGAACACACAGGGGUGAGAAACCAUACAUGUCUCGUACCUGGAGCCAUCUGAUCCGACACAUUCGGACGUGCAACUAUAGAGACCUCUCCAGUCUUGCUUUAAAGAUGCAGAAGUGUGAGUUUUGCAAGUACGCCACUAAUUCCCCAUAUAACUUAGGGGUCCACAAGCGAAUCCAUGCAGGCCAGCAAUGUGCACUGGCAGUGGUUCAUAACAUAGAAUCGGAAGUACUGAAAGUGGACAUCUAAAUGUAUUCUAAACUUGAACUGCAAAAAGAAGACAACUGUAAUGUCCAUGGUAGCACUGAGCGCUUUUUAAAUAUUUGCAUUUGUAUUUUGGUUCAUGUAUUAGUUUUAAUACUUGGCAAUUUCAAACUGGACCACUGCCAGUAUACUGACUAUUAUGAAUUUUUUGCUGUAUAUGACUCCUUUAAAGUCAGUGAAAGUGUCUUAUAGUUGCUUGCUUAGUAUUUCUGAUUUUUUCUUUUAUGUCAUGACAUAAAAACUUCUCUGUUUUUCC
This 1425-nucleotide long non-coding RNA is filed under the name Scleropages formosus (Asian bonytongue). Its description in RNAcentral is "lncRNA (ENSSFOG00015032920.1)". The record is from RNAcentral. Lineage: Eukaryota; Metazoa; Chordata; Actinopteri; Osteoglossiformes; Osteoglossidae.